This is a non-coding RNA of Pantherophis guttatus, 247 nucleotides long. NCBI's taxonomy places the organism in Eukaryota, Metazoa, Chordata, Lepidosauria, Squamata, Colubridae. The record is from RefSeq and is a predicted model, not a curated record.
AGAAAGAAAAAUCUGUAAACACAAUCGAAAGUAAUGGAUGCCAAGGUCUAAUAGCACACCUUGAAGCUGUCCUUGGACAACGUUGGAAUAAGUGGAAAUAUACUACUUUAAUACUGGUACAGCUAACGAUGGAGCUGUCUCAUUCAUCAGUUGAGGAAGAGAUGGAGGCAAUGUCAUGGACAUACUGAAGAAAAAUAAUGUUUCCAGACAUGUUUGUGCUGCGCUUAAAUACAAGUAAGAAAAAUAU